This 541-nucleotide ribosomal RNA is filed under the name Bifidobacterium breve. RNAcentral describes it as "bacterial SSU rRNA". It matches the Rfam family "Bacterial small subunit ribosomal RNA", at positions 146 to 697 of the family's 1533-position model. The record is from RNAcentral. Lineage: Bacteria; Bacillati; Actinomycetota; Actinomycetes; Bifidobacteriales; Bifidobacteriaceae.
UCUCCUGGAAACGGGUGGUAAUGCCGGAUGCUCCAUCACACUGCAUGGUGUGUUGGGAAAGCCUUUGCGGCAUGGGAUGGGGUCGCGUCCUAUCAGCUUGAUGGCGGGGUAACGGCCCACCAUGGCUUCGACGGGUAGCCGGCCUGAGAGGGCGACCGGCCACAUUGGGACUGAGAUACGGCCCAGACUCCUACGGGAGGCAGCAGUGGGGAAUAUUGCACAAUGGGCGCAAGCCUGAUGCAGCGACGCCGCGUGAGGGAUGGAGGCCUUCGGGUUGUAAACCUCUUUUGUUAGGGAGCAAGGCAUUUUGUGUUGAGUGUACCUUUCGAAUAAGCACCGGCUAACUACGUGCCAGCAGCCGCGGUAAUACGUAGGGUGCAAGCGUUAUCCGGAAUUAUUGGGCGUAAAGGGCUCGUAGGCGGUUCGUCGCGUCCGGUGUGAAAGUCCAUCGCUUAACGGUGGAUCCGCGCCGGGUACGGGCGGGCUUGAGUGCGGUAGGGGAGACUGGAAUUCCCGGUGUAACGGUGGAAUGUGUAGAUAU